RNAcentral lists this ribosomal RNA (468 nucleotides) under uncultured bacterium. RNAcentral's name for it is "partial 16S ribosomal RNA". It matches the Rfam family "Bacterial small subunit ribosomal RNA", at positions 28 to 507 of the family's 1533-position model. The record is from RNAcentral.
GACGAACGCUGGCGGCGUGCUUAACACAUGCAAGUCGAACGGAAAGGCCCUGCUUUUGUGGGGUGCUCGAGUGGCGAACGGGUGAGUAACACGUGAGUAACCUGCCCUUUACUUUGGGAUAACUUCAGGAAACUGGGGCUAAUACCGGAUAGGAGCUCCUGCUGCAUGGUGGGGGUUGGAAAGUUUCGGCGGUUGGGGAUGGACUCGCGGCUUAUCAGCUUGUUGGUGGGGUAGUGGCUUACCAAGGCUUUGACGGGUAGCCGGCCUGAGAGGGUGACCGGCCACAUUGGGACUGAGAUACGGCCCAGACUCCUACGGGAGGCAGCAGUGGGGAAUAUUGCACAAUGGGCGGAAGCCUGAUGCAGCAACGCAGCGUGCGGGAUGACGGCCUUCGGGUUGUAAACCGCUUUCGCCUGUGACGAAGCGUGAGUGACGGUAAUGGGUAAAGAAGCACCGGCUAACUACGUG